CCUGGUGGCUCAGAUGGUAAAGCGUCUGCCUGCAAUGCAGGACACCCAGGUUUAAUUCCUGGGUCAGGA
This 69-nucleotide transfer RNA is filed under the name Bos taurus (domestic cattle). It matches the Rfam family "tRNA". Rfam says of the family: Transfer RNA (tRNA) molecules are approximately 80 nucleotides in length. Their secondary structure includes four short double-helical elements and three loops (D, anti-codon, and T loops). Further hydrogen bonds mediate the characteristic L-shaped molecular structure. tRNAs have two regions of fundamental functional importance: the anti-codon, which is responsible for specific mRNA codon recognition, and the 3' end, to which the tRNAs corresponding amino acid is attached (by aminoacyl-tRNA synthetases). tRNAs cope with the degeneracy of the genetic code in two manners: having more than one tRNA (with a specific anti-codon) for a particular amino acid; and 'wobble' base-pairing, i.e. permitting non-standard base-pairing at the 3rd anti-codon position. The record is from Rfam by way of RNAcentral. RNAcentral also lists the same sequence under 3 other names. Lineage: Eukaryota; Metazoa; Chordata; Mammalia; Artiodactyla; Bovidae.